UGCCUUGUCGUCUAAUGGUAGGACAUUCGUUUCUGGAAUGAGUAACCGUGGUUCGAAUCCACGCGGGGCAGCCA
This 74-nucleotide transfer RNA is filed under the name Candidatus Saccharimonadota bacterium. RNAcentral's name for it is "tRNA-Gln". It matches the Rfam family "tRNA". Rfam says of the family: Transfer RNA (tRNA) molecules are approximately 80 nucleotides in length. Their secondary structure includes four short double-helical elements and three loops (D, anti-codon, and T loops). Further hydrogen bonds mediate the characteristic L-shaped molecular structure. tRNAs have two regions of fundamental functional importance: the anti-codon, which is responsible for specific mRNA codon recognition, and the 3' end, to which the tRNAs corresponding amino acid is attached (by aminoacyl-tRNA synthetases). tRNAs cope with the degeneracy of the genetic code in two manners: having more than one tRNA (with a specific anti-codon) for a particular amino acid; and 'wobble' base-pairing, i.e. permitting non-standard base-pairing at the 3rd anti-codon position. The record is from RNAcentral. Lineage: Bacteria; Candidatus Saccharimonadota.